UCGAGUAGCCGGAUACCCGCGUUUAUUUGUGAGUUUUCUUCGCGCAUACAAAGAGACAAAUUUUCGCCAUGAAUUCGAUAAUGCAUCGGACAAUUCAACAACGUGGUGCCUGUAAGGGGCAAUUAACGCGCACCCUGAACAGCGCCACGGACUUUGCACAGAGAUGUGAUUGUGUGCAGACAUUGCAACAUAAACUGGAGCGUUUGGUUGCCACUUUCAACCACUUCAUGGAGCUCUCCGAUGACUUAGUGGAGUUCAACCUGGAGGAUGGGUACGAGGACCCUGGUUUGGAUAUACCGGAAUACGAAGAGAAGUUCUACAGUGCCCACGCUAUUUUUAGUAAAGCCAUAAAAGAAAUGGGAGGUCAAGAUUACGGCCAAGACCAGUCUAACCUUUUGAUCUCAAGUACAGUGGAACGUCUAUUUGAGGGACAGAAUCAGCUUUUGGAACAAAUCCAUACCUCUUCGAGUGCAACUGAUUUAAGGUUCGAGAAAAUUCGGAUUCCCACCUUUUCUGGUAAAUAUGAAGACUGGAGCCAGUUUAGUGAUUUGUUUUUGAGCUCAGUGAAUAACAACGAGAAGCUUUCUAAGUGCCAAAAAUUCCAUUACCUGAAAUCUUAUCUGGAUGGUGAAGCUCUGUCGUUAAUUAAACAUAUCGCCGUUUGUAACGAUAAUUACCAAGAUGCAUGGGAGAAAUUGGAAAAUCGUUAUAAUAAAAAAUCGCUUAUUGCUCGAUCUUUUGUGCAGAAUUUUCUGUCGCUGCCAACCGCUAAUAAUUUGAAUAUCGCUGAGUUACGCAAAAUUGUGGAUUCUGCCGACGAAUGUAUACGAGGCCUACACGCGCUUAAUUGUGACAGCCGCGAUGUAUGGUUAAUUCAUAUUCUGCUAUCAAAGUUAGGUUCUGAAGUCAAGCAAGCUUGGGCCAAUUGUAGUAUGUCGUCCAAGGAAGACGUCACCAUAUAUGAUUUAUUCACUUUUCUCUUCGCUCAUUGUGAUACUUUGGAGUCUUGUCAGGAUUUACACGCAUUGCAGCCGUCAAGACCAGCCCAGAGUAGACGCCGCCAAGUCACCUAUCAUGCAAGUGGAUCAAAUCAACCGCCCCGCGAAUGUAUAUAUUGUCAAGGACAGCACAAUAUAUAUUCAUGUACUGAAUUCCAAGCCUUGGAUGUCGGAAGCCGCCGCACCUUUGUCAGGGAUACUAAGUUAUGCUUCAAUUGUCUAAGUAGGUCGCAUCAAGUUUCGGAUUGUAAUUCUUCAAAUACUUGCCGUCAGUGCAACGCGAGACAUCAUACUCUAGUACAUCCGGAGGAGUCAAGAUCAAUUCCUUCGGCUUCCGCCCAGAUGUCUGCCGCUGAAUUAAAUACAACUUCUUCCUUUGAUCAUGCUGCUGACAUGAAUACUGCCGCUAUCAGCCAUCAUACUGUGGAGAGGGCUAACAAUCAAGCCCUACUGCCAACCAUUCUGGCCAAUGUUAUUGACGCAUGUGGCAACACCACCUCAUGUAGGUUAUUGCUCGAUACUGGAUCAACAAUAACCAUGGUAUCCGAGUCCUUUAUCCAAAGGAUCGGAAUUUCUCGCUCGCAUGCUCGCAUUUCGGUAGUUGGUUUAGGUGCUAGCCCGGCAGGCGUGAGCCGAGGUCGCGCUACCUUCACCCUGCUGUCAAGGACCACUACUGCAUCAGUGGAGGUCACCGGUUUAAUUAUGAGUUCUCUGACUUCUCUGCUUCCAGCUCAGCAGGUCAAGUCCAGCUCUUCUAUAUGGAACAAGAUUCGCCGCUUACCGCUAGCUGACCCGACGUUUGGAGCUCCGGGAAAAAUCGACGUAAUCUUAGGCGCUGAUCAGCUGUGGAACAUAUACACUGGACAUCGCCGAGAGUUUGGUAUCGAAUACCCCAUCGCACUACAUACUAAUUUUGGUUGGGUAAUUACAGGCAGUUAUUCUGAUUGCAACGAAGCAUCUACGCAAGCCCAAGUUCACCACGCGUACGAAGACUUGGACUCCUUGGUCCGAUCAUUCAUGGACAUGGAACAAGUGCAUCCGACCAAAGCGACUAUUGAUGCUAGUGAUCCUGCAGAACAACAUUUCCUUAAAACGCAUGCUCGUACAGAAGAUGGUGUCUACAUUGUUCAGUACCCAUUUAAGGAGCCCAUCAUGCCAAUUGGAUCUACGUUGCCACAAGCUUUAAAUCGCUUCGCCGCAUUAGAAAGGAAAUUUCGAAAAUUCCCCGCACUCAAACAACAAUAUGUUGAUUUCAUGGAGGAUUACCUGAGAAGAGGACACAUGGAAUUGAUACCUGCAACCGCCGCUGGUGAGGAUCCAGCACGCUAUAAUUAUUUGGCACACCACGCAGUGUUUAAGCCAGAUAGCACUACCACACGUUGCCGAGUCGUAUUUGAUGGCUCAGGAAAUGACUCCAAGGGUCAUUCGCUUAACUCCCGACUGCACAUAGGCCCACCUAUUCAACGGGAUCUGCUUGGAGUAUGCCUUCGCUUCCGUCAGCAUCGUUACGUCUUUUGCGCUGAUAUCGAGAAGAUGUUUAGAGGGAUCUUGGUAGCAGACGAACAUACGCAUUAUCAACGAAUAGUUUGGAGAAAGGAGGAAACCGCCACGCUGGAUCAUUAUCGAUUGCUGACAGUCACAUAUGGAUUAGCUUCAUCGCCGUUUAUAGCUGUUCGAGUCCUGAAGCAGCUCGCCACCGACUAUGCCGAAAUGUAUCCGAACGCUGCUGUCGUUCUUAAUAGAGACGCUUACGUUGAUGAUAUUCCUACUGGAUGCGACAAAGUGGAGGAUCUCAUCGCACUCAAAGAUGAGCUGAUUCUGCUUCUGAGUGAAGCUCACUUCAACCUUCGAAAGUGGAGUUCAAACUGUUGCGGCUUAUUAAAGUCUUUGCCAAAGGAGAUUUGUGAGUAUCCACCAAACGCUUUAGAAAACGACAGCCCUUUUCGAUUUGUUAAAGUUCUGGGAGUAUGUUGGGAACCUAAAACUGAUCACAUCUUCUUCAAGCUGUCACCUCCUGGAAUUACAACUGCUCUUACGAAACGCAUUUUGCUAUCAGAGCUCGCCAAGAUUUACGAUCCGCUGGGUUUGCUUGCGCCCACCACUGUUUUUCUAAAGAUUCUAUUUCAAGAUAGUUGGCUCAGCUCUGUCGAAUGGAGUGAGGUAUUACACCCCCAUUUAUGUUUCCGAUGGCAACAAUUUGUAUCUGAAAUGCAUUUAUUGGAAACUUGUCGAGUUCCUCGCUACAUUUCAACACCAAGUCAAGCAAUUGAGCUACACGGAUUUGCGGAUGCUUCAUCUCAGGCAUUUGCGGCCGUCAUCUAUAGUCGUUUCAAAGUCAACGCUGGAUACGCAGUCAACUUGAUAAUGGCCAAAACUCGAGUCGCACCUAUUAAGCCCAUAUCCAUUCCUCGCCUUGAGUUAAACGCAGCACAUUUGCUUUCUAAAUUGAUUUCUCUGGUCAAGCAAUCAUUAACUAUUCCUAUUUCCAGAAUCAAUUGUUGGUCAGACUCCGAAAUAGUCCUGCAUUGGCUAUCAUCUCCUCCUCGGACAUGGAAUACAUAUGUUUGCAAUCGCACUGCUGAGAUUUUAGACGGUUGUCCAAGAAGCUGCUGGCAACAUAUUCGAAGUGAAGAUAAUCCUGCAGAUUGCGCUUCCCGAGGUAUAUUACCAAAGGACCUCGUCGAUCAUCAAAUCUGGUGGAAUGGACCCGCUUGGCUAUCUCAGUCACGUUCAGCUUGGCCACCCGCUAAGGCUAAGUUUGCUUUGUCGACAGAAGAAGAGGCAUGUCUGGAGGUAAAGGCCGAACACAAAGUUAAUCUACACAUUUCCGACGACGGAAAUUCGCUCAACUGUAUGAUCAACAAAAUCUCCUCAUGGUCUCGCUUAAUAAGGAUACUCAGCUACUGCUUUCGCUUCGUCCAUCGUUUUCGUGGAAGGACUCCACUCCAACCGUUCCUAGCAGCGUGGGAGCUACAAUAUGCACGAUCCAGGAUAUUUGCGCACGUUCAGAAAGAGUUCUUUAGCAUGGAAUAUACUCAGUUGAGCACCGGACAACAAUUAUCAAAGAAGUCCAAGUUAAUCCGCUACACGCCCUUCUUAGACGAGCAAGGAAUAAUGCGUGUUGGUGGUCGCAUAGACAAUUCGCUGGCUAAUUAUGACGCAAAACAUCCCAUAAUUCUGCCUAAGGAAUCUCCAAUCGCCGCUACACUAAUUCUAUAUCAACACUCUGCCUUGCUACACGCUGGUGUCGAAUACACCUUUCAUAGUUUACGACAACGCUAUUGGAUUCUAGGAGCUAGAAACCUCGUCCGCAAAACUGUAUUCAAUUGCCGAACUUGCUUCUUGCAGCGAAGACACACGGCCUCUCAACUGAUGGCAGAUUUACCAGAGUUUCGAGUUCAACCUGCCCGCUGUUUUCUUCACACUGGUUUGGAUUAUGCUGGACCUGUAUCGAUCAAAAUAUCUACAGGUCGGACGCCAAAGUUUGGAAAGGCUUGGUUUGCUAUCUUCGUUUGUCUAUCUACAAAGGCAAUACACAUUGAGCUGGUCAGUGAUCUGACAACAUCUGCAUUUAUUGCCGCUUUUCAACGCUUUUGGUCCCGCCGUGGGCCCAUCUCAGACUUGUACUCAGACAAUGGCACAACUUUUCAUGGAGCUAAAAAAGAGUUAGCGGAAAUGCAACAGAUCGCAAUUUCCCAAAGUCAAAACGAAGAGAUUUCGAGUUUCUUGUCGACUCACGAAGUUAAUUGGCACUUCAUCCCGCCCUCUGCACCCCACUUCGGAGGCAUUUGGGAGACUGGUGUGCGAUCUAUUAAACUGCACCUGAAACGAGUUGUUGGCAGCAGCGCACUCACAUUCGAGGAAUAUUCGACCCUGCUCAUACAGAUUGAAGGACUUCUGAAUUCUCGUCCUUUGUGCGCACCCAGCGACCACAGCCUUAAUCCGCUAACCCCUUCUCAUUUUCUAACAGGUCAGCCUCUCACUUCGGUACCAGAGCCAUCUCUCCUGGAUGUAAACAUCAACAGACUGCAGCGCUGGAGGGAACUGCAGGCCAAGGUCCAAGGGUUCUGGAAACGCUGGAAUUUAGAGUAUCUCAACACACUUCAAGCUCGCACGAAAUGGCAACAAGACGCUCAGGACAUUGCCAUGGACACCCUGGUUGUGCUGAAGGAGCCAAAUCAACCGCCAAGCAAGUGGUUGUUGGGACGAGUCGUAGAAGUGCAUCCUGGCCAGGAUCAGAGGGUCCGUGUCGUCACAGUGAAAACCGCUAGAGGAACCUACAAGCGACCUAUUACGAAAAUUGCUGUGCUUCCUUUGAACUGAACAGUCGUUCAGGGGGGCCGGUAUGUUGAGAAAUAGAUAGGCCAUUUUCAUUACUUCUUUACUUGUUCUUAAUUUCUUAUAAUUGCACCUAGUUAAUUGCGCAUCACUGUAUUGUUUACUUUAUGAAAGCUUAAAAGCUCACACGCAUAGCCGAAAAUGCAGCUUUUGUCUAUGUAUUAGCGCAUCACGCGAUCUUUGCAUUUUUUGUUCUUUUCUGCACGCUGUUCGCCGCUAGUUCUAUUGCUUCUGUAUACUUGACCGCAACCGCACGCAAAUCGCUUAUCAAGUUUUGUACAGUAACGCAACCGCUUACCGCCCGCAACCCGCUUACCGCCCGCAACCCGCUUAUAAUUUUCGCUCCAAUAGCGAAAGCGAGAGCGUGCGCAGCGAUCCGCGAAGCACAAUUUCAUCCUAGUCAUCAUUGUAAUUGUUUAUUGAUGAGCAAGGAGAUGGGAUGGCGGAGCUCAAGCGGAUGGCAGUGAUCGGAUCUUGGCUCCGGGCUGGUUGAAGCCCAGCAGGCGUAAAGUAUUGGAAUAUUUAUAAAUACAUUUUAAAUGUGUAAAUGUAUAUGAUGGAACAUACAAAUUUGAAUCAAUAAAAAAAGGGAAAUCAAUGUGGAA
This is an RNA transcript of Drosophila kikkawai, 5941 nucleotides long. RefSeq lists it as uncharacterized. NCBI's taxonomy places the organism in Eukaryota, Metazoa, Arthropoda, Insecta, Diptera, Drosophilidae. The record is from RefSeq and is a predicted model, not a curated record.